This 73-nucleotide transfer RNA is filed under the name Candidatus Thorarchaeota archaeon. RNAcentral's name for it is "tRNA-Gly". It matches the Rfam family "tRNA". From Rfam's summary of the family: Transfer RNA (tRNA) molecules are approximately 80 nucleotides in length. RNAcentral also lists the same sequence under 1 other name. The record is from RNAcentral. Lineage: Archaea; Promethearchaeati; Candidatus Thorarchaeota.
GCGCGGUUAGUCCAGUUGGUAGGACGUCAGCUUGCCAAGCUGAAGGUCGCGGGUUCAAAUCCCGCACCGCGCA